RNAcentral lists this ribosomal RNA (492 nucleotides) under uncultured bacterium. Its description in RNAcentral is "partial 16S ribosomal RNA". It matches the Rfam family "Bacterial small subunit ribosomal RNA", at positions 29 to 507 of the family's 1533-position model. The record is from RNAcentral.
AGUGAACGCUGGCAGUAGGCCUAACACAUGCAAGUCGAACGGCAGCACAGUAAGAGCUUGCUCUUACGGGUGGCGAGUGGCGGACGGGUGAGGAAUACAUCGGAAUCUACUUUUUCGUGGGGGAUAACGUAGGGAAACUUACGCUAAUACCGCAUACGACCUACGGGUGAAAGCAGGGGAUCUUCGGACCUUGCGCGAUUGAAUGAGCCGAUGUCGGAUUAGCUAGUUGGCGGGAUAAAGGCCCACCAAGGCGACGAUCCGUAGCUGGUCUGAGAGGAUGAUCAGCCACACUGGAACUGAGACACGGUCCAGACUCCUACGGGAGGCAGCAGUGGGGAAUAUUGGACAAUGGGCGCAAGCCUGAUCCAGCCAUACCGCGUGGGUGAAGAAGGCCUUCGGGUUGUAAAGCCCUUUUGUUGGGAAAGAAAAGCAGCAGGUUAAUACCCCGCUGUUCUGACGGUACCCAAAGAAUAAGCACCGGCUAACUUCGUG